UACUUAAAACAUGUCACUUUUGUCUUUGAGCUCCGAUUUGUCAUCAAGAUUUUAUUUUUGUAUUUGAUAGUGUACAAAUAACCUGUCGUAUUUCGUCCCAUAGGUAUAUAUGUUUUUCAUGUAUUUGUACCAGACGUUUAAAGUUUGAAGAACAAAUUUUCGCUUGUUUGCUGUCGCUAACAAAUUUGUUUAAUACAUCAAGACGGGAGUGGGCUUUGUUCAGCAUGUCCUUAUCCUCUUUUUUUGUGGCAUUGAUGAUCAAACGGAGAACUGAAAUAGUGGUUCUCUCAACCCUUCAUAACGACAGUAAGUCACCAUACACAGUGCUCUAAAAAAUAUAGCCGUUACAAACAGCAACAGCUCUGUCGGAAUGGCAUCAUCGCCAACAGAACUUUUCAGGCCACCGGAUCAGUCCAGAAAACUAUACAAUCUUCAACUGAGCAAAACCCAUCAAGAAUCGUCUCAAUCCGACAUCCGAAGCCCUGGGAAUGUUGAAAAAACAGCCGCGAUCACUGUUCAUCAUCCACAAGAACGUGAACAUGUUACCACUGAACGAGAAAUCGAUUCUAGCUCCAAUUCUGUGAAUUGUUUUGAUAAACCACCAAUUGAGAAUGUUAGAACAACAUCUCAGCUACAACAUAUCCGAAAAUCAAGCAAUUUCAGCAUGGCAAUCGAGAGAAAUGAAGCCGCGACUGUCCAGCAAAACUCCGGCGAGGCGCCGGCCAAUCGGGCGAUUUUUUGGACGCCCUCCGAUGGUAUUCGAGGUGGCGCAUCACCUGAGGUUGGUUGCCCACCUCAAGGCGCCCCUCAUACUAAAAGCCCAGCCCCAAUAGAUGACGGAGCCGCCGGCGCUCUACUGUUGAACUCCGACGACGGAGCUCCGGUGACAUUCGAGCUUCAAGACCAAUGCCAAAUUGUAGAGGAUCUCAACACGAAUACAACCAUGCAAAAAUUGCUAUAAAUUCAUUGCCAAUCUUGUCAAAUAUCAGUUCAAAGAAUUCAGGCGGCUGCGCGAUUUCCGGCAGCGGCGCCGCCACCGCGAAUUUCGACGAAAAUAAAACUUUUCCUAUGGGUUUUGAUCACGAUGCAACGAAGAACACAACAAUCCCAAAAGCCCCAUCGAAUUCACUCUCUAACGAUUCGAAUUUGGGAAUUAGGGUUCCGCUUCCACUUGCCGGAGGCGGCGAAGAGGCGGAGAUCCAAUUCAGAAAUUGUCAAUGACAAAUUGUUCAGAAUGAUGACAGGAAUCCAACCAUCCAAAAAGCCCCAUCAGGUAACGCUUCGAACCCUUCGAAUUUCAAUUCUAGGGUUUCCAAUUUGACUAGACAUGCUGACAGUGGUUGUGCCGGAGCUCCGGUGGCCAAAGAAAUUUCUUUUCCUUUCAAUGGUACUCCCCAGCAACCAAAUACACCUCAGGAACAAAAUUCUAAAGAAAACGACCAUCCCAUCAUUUCAAACGUUAAUACUAGUGUCGGAAUUCCCCAAAGAACCACCGGAAUCACCACUCCGUUGAACGCCCAAAGCAAUUCUAUAAACCAGAACGACCCACAUACAAAUACGAACAUUUUAAACCAAAAAACACAAUUUUUAGGCACCCCGAACUCAAAUUCCAAAAUUACAACUCCUACCAAUAGGCACGAAAACAGUGAAUUAAGGUCCGACGCUGUAUUAGUUAAUCAUGCCACUACUUCAGACACUCCAUGUACCUCCAAUGGUCCCAAAACUACCAAAUUCCCCAGUCCCAAACUUCCCCACCAUUUCAUCCAAUUUUGAAAAAUUCGACCCUAAAAUCACUAAAGAUCCUAUAGUUUCCCUAACCCCCAGUGCUAUACCUCCAAAAACUAAACCUCCCAACAAUCAACCCACCACUACUAACCACCCCCCUCCGCCCAUCAUAAUGCAAUCCUUAGCCACAAGACUUAGGAUUAGACAAGUCGUUACGGAAACCAAAAUAGACCUAUCACCUCCGAGAAGAGUUACAAAACAGGGAUGUCCGGCCAUCAUGUUUAAGAGAGAUGAUUACAUGAUUAAGAUGGCUGAAUCCUGUAAGUAUACACUCAUAGGCAAGUUUUACAGCCAUAUGCCCAAGAUGGAGGUUAUUCGAAAGAAAUUUAUUACCCAAACUGAACUAAGGGGCAAGGUCAAGAUUACCCACUUCAAUUCUAGACACAUAUACAUUGACCUUGAUAAUGAACAUGAUAGAGCCACCGUAUUAGAUAGCAAGCGUAUGUACAUUGACGGUGUCUUUAUGCGGUUUCAAGUUUGGACCCCUACUUUCGAUCCAAAUUAUGAAACCCCCAUUCUUCCUGUUUGGGUCAUACUCCCGGAGCUCCCAUGGCACUGCUUCCAUAAAGAAUUUGUUACGCUCUUGCUUGCGGACGUGGGACAAGUGUUGCACUUGGACAUGGCCUUUAUGCAAAAGACAAGGGGGAGCGUAGCGAAAGCAAAAGUCCAAAUGGACAUCACAAAGCCUAGAAUCCAAAGUGUUUGGAUUGGAUUCGAUGAAAAUGAUGAUCCAAAUGGAGAAGGUAGAUGGCAGGACAUCGAAUAUGAAGAUGUCCCCCUUUACUGUACCUAUUGCAAACACCAAGGACAUACUCCUCUUGCAUGCCCCAUCAGCAGAAGAGAUGCAGAACGCAACAAGGCCAAAGACAAGGAAGAAGAGCUAAACAAAGAUGCAUUGACAAAACACACAGGUAUGAUCUCUACUCCUAUUGUCUUAACUAAUGCUGUAAGUUUCAGGCAACAGGUACCACUAGAAGCAUCUACCACCACAUCUCAGGAGGAAAGAGGCAAGGCUAAGGAACAAUCAACCAAUCCAAACAAGAAUCAAAUUUCAAAUGAACAAUGGGAAACCCAAAAGAGAAGAAACUUCAAAGGUAAGACCCAAACUAUGCAAAACACCCAAAAGGUACAAGGAAACACUCAUCAGGUAUAUAAACCUACCCAAACCAAGAAUACAGGUACUAAUGCAAUUCAUGGACAUCGCGAGCGUCAAUCAGGUAUUGACUCAAUGCUCCCAAUCCCCCAUGGCUCCCCCAGUAGUUUUAAUGUAUUGAAUGUUUUAACUGCUGCUGCUGAAGUAGUUAAUGGAGGUGAGGAUGGUAGGUUUCAGGAGAGGCCAACUAACCUGCAGGAAGGGGUAUCCAAAGGGGGGGUUUUGUCUCAUGUUUUGCAUGAGAACCUUAUGGUUGACCGUAGGAAUGACUUUAGAGCUCCGGCUACCACUUCAUAUAUUCAACAUUCUUCUUCCCAGCAUGUUGAUAAAAGGGAUUUUGUUGAUGCUCAAAAAAUGGCCUCCAAACUGACCCCUACUGUGACCAUUGGAUGUGAGACUGCAGUUGGAUCUGGAAGGCUUUCAAGUCCUUCUUUGAGAACUGAGCAGCAGUAGUUCAGGAGUGUAAAUGUAGGGGCAAACCAGAGCCAAAAAAUGACUCAACAGGUUGCUCAGAGGCAUGUUUUGAGACAUGCUGGAGAUGUUAUUGAACUUGGUAAAACUGUAACUCCAGUUCAGGUCCAAAACAUGCAAUUGUUGAGACCUGCAGGUGCUCCUAUUCCCACCAAGGAAAUGACCAUUACUGCAGCCCCCUAUCAGCCUCAAAACUUUCAGGUUUUGGGACAUUUUCUAGAUACUGAACUGCAGGAAACCAUGCAUGUUUUGGGUGCUAAUUCAACUGAUACUUUAAAGGAAAAUAUGGUGUACAAUAAGGCUACCCAGAUGCAGGGAUCAAGACCUGCAGGUACAACUAUUUCCACUCAGGGAAUGGGCAACACUGCAGCCCCUAUUCUGCCUCAACAGUUGCAGGUUCUGAGACAUGUUUCAGCUGCAGGACUGGAGCAAAAAUUGCAUGGCUAACAGGUUCAAGUGCAACAUUAGAAACUUAUGGAAAUUCUUGUCUGGCACAUAGUGAAGACUUUGAAGUUAAGGAAGUUGAGGCAGUCUCGCAACUAUAUCUGUGUGUGUGCGUGUUUUGUGUUCUGCCUUGUCUAUGUCUAUAUAUGUACAUGCGUUUACCUGUCAGGGCAGUUAGCUAUAUGAGAAUUUACUUUUAAAAGUGCAAUAUGCAUUUAACAUGAGAAAUUAACUUUGAAUGCAAUUCGCAUUCAUUAUGUGCCAUGCAGUUAUGGGUCUUUGUAUAUGCUUCCAAGUACGAAGAGAUGGUUUCCAUUUUGCGAACAGAGACCCCUGGAAUUUGCUGCUGGUAACACAGCUUUCAUAUGCUUGCCUUCCAAUCUAAUGAUCGUUUCCAUGGUUGUGCACAACAUCAUGCGCAAUGCAAGAUAGGUUUUCUACAUAUCUUUUCACAUGUUCAGCAACAAUGUUACACCUGUAUAACUGUGUUUCCUUACAUGUACAGUGAACCAUUUUGAUAAAAAUGCUCUUUGGUUCGGCAUAUGAGAAUGAACGUGAGAGCUAACUGAAAAUAUUCAUUAAACUCUGAGCCUUAACGUGUUGUGAUGCUGCUGCUGAUUUUUUUAAUGUGGUGAAUUAAGAUUUCAAUA
This is an RNA transcript of Solanum dulcamara, 4503 nucleotides long. RefSeq lists it as uncharacterized. The record is from RefSeq and is a predicted model, not a curated record. The transcript is spliced from 2 exons. NCBI's taxonomy places the organism in Eukaryota, Viridiplantae, Streptophyta, Magnoliopsida, Solanales, Solanaceae.